Molecule: ribosomal RNA, 414 nt
Filed under: uncultured Acidobacteriota bacterium
Lineage: Bacteria; Pseudomonadati; Acidobacteriota
Description: bacterial SSU rRNA
Rfam family: Bacterial small subunit ribosomal RNA
Source: RNAcentral
AAACAUCCCUUUCCGCAAGGACUGCUGCAUAGGUGCUGCAUGGCUGUCGUCAGCUCGUGUCGUGAGAUGUUGGGUUAAGUCCCGCAACGAGCGCAACCCUUAUUGCCAGUUGCUAACACGUUAUGGUGAGCACUCUGGCGAAACCGCCCCGGAUAACGGGGAGGAAGGUGGGGAUGACGUCAAGUCCUCAUGGCCUUUAUGUCCAGGGCUACACACGUGCUACAAUGGCCGAUACAAACCGUCGCAAACCCGCGAGGGGGAGCUAAUCGGAAAAAGUCGGCCCCAGUUCGGAUUGUAGUCUGCAAAGCGACUACAUGAAGCUGGGAUCGCUAGUAAUCGCGGAUCAGCACGCCGCGGUGAAUACGUUCCCGGGCCUUGUACACACCGCCCGUCACAUCACGAAAGUGGGUGGUA